This is a non-coding RNA of Saimiri boliviensis boliviensis (Bolivian squirrel monkey), 2699 nucleotides long. Lineage: Eukaryota; Metazoa; Chordata; Mammalia; Primates; Cebidae. The record is from RefSeq and is a predicted model, not a curated record.
CCACGCGGUUAAGAAUACCGGUCGGCCUGGGCAAUCUGUGCUGAAGAUGCCAGGAAAACUCCGUAGUGACGCUGCUUUGGAGUCAGACGCCGCAGUGAAAAAAGUGGAGACACUGCGAAAGCAAACCGAGAAGAAAGAGAAAAAAGAGAAGCCAAAAUCUAAUAAGAUUGAAGAGAUAGCAGAAGAGGAAGAAACUAUUUCCCCCAAAGCAAAAAAAGUUAAAAAGAAAGCAGAGCCUUCUGAAGUUGACAUGAAUUCUCCUAAAUCCAAAAAGGCAAAAAAGAAAGAGGAACUAUCUCAAGAUGACAUUUCUCCUAAAACCAAAAGUUUGAGAAAGAAAAAGGAGCCCAUUGAAAAGAAAGCUGUUUCUUCUAAAACCAAAAAAAGUGAUAAAAAAUGAGGAGCCUUCUGAGGAAGAAAUAGAUGCUCCUAAGCCCAAGAAGAUGAAGAAAGAAAAGGAGAUGAAUGGAGAAACUGGAGAGAAAAGCCUCAAACUGAAGAAUGGAUUUCCUCAUUCUGAACCUGACUGUAACCCCAGUGAAGCUGCCAGUGAAGAAAGUAACAGUGAGAUAGAGCAGGAAAUACCUGUGGAACAAAAAGAAGGUGCUUUCUCUAAUUUUCCCAUAUCUGAAGAAACCAUUAAGCUUCUCAAAGGCCGAGGAGUGACCUUCCUGUUUCCUAUACAAGCAAAGACAUUCCAUCAUGUUUACAGCGGGAAGGACUUAAUUGCACAGGCGCGGACAGGAACUGGGAAGACAUUCUCCUUUGCUAUCCCUUUGAUUGAGAAACUUCUUGGGGAACUGCAAGACAGGAAAAGAGGCCGUCCCCCUCAGGUACUGGUUCUUGCACCUACAAGAGAGUUGGCAAAUCAAGUAAGCAAAGACUUCAGUGACAUCACAAAAAAGCUGUCAGUGGCUUGUUUUUAUGGUGGAACUCCCUAUGGAGCUCAAUUUGAACGCAUGAGGAAUGGGAUUGAUAUCUUGGUUGGGACACCAGGUCGUAUCAAAGACCACAUACAGAAUGGCAAACUAGAUCUCACCAAACUUAAGCAUGUUGUCCUGGAUGAAGUUGACCAGAUGUUGGAUAUGGGAUUUGCUGAUCAAGUGGAAGAGAUUUUAAGUGUGGCAUACAAGAAAGAUUCUGAAGAUAAUCCCCAAACAUUGCUUUUUUCUGCAACUUGCCCUCAUUGGGUAUUUAAUGUUGCCAAGAAAUACAUGAAAUCUACAUAUGAACAGGUGGACCUGAUUGGUAAAAAGACUCAGAAAACAGCAAUAACUGUGGAGCAUCUGGCUAUUAAGUGCCACUGGACUCAGAGGGCAGAAGUUAUUGGGGAUGUCAUCCGAGUAUAUGAUGGUCAUCGAGGACGUACUAUCAUCUUUUGUGAAACCAAGAAAGAAGCCCAGGAGCUGUCGCAGAAUUCGGCUAUAAAGCAGGAUGCCCAGUCAUUGCAUGGAGACAUUCCACAGAAACAAAGGGAAAUUACCCUGAAAGGGUUUAGAAAUGGUAGUUUUGGAGUUUUGGUGGCAACCAAUGUCGCUGCACGUGGGUUAGACAUCCCUGAGGUUGAUUUGGUUAUACAAAGCUCUCCACCAAAGGAUGUAGAGUCCUACAUUCAUCGAUCUGGGCGGACAGGCAGAGCUGGAAGGAUGGGGGUGUGCAUCUGCUUUUAUCAGCAUAAGGAAGAAUAUCAAUUGGUACAAGUGGAGCAAAAAGCGGGAAUUAAGUUCAAACGAAUAGGUAUUCCUUCUGCAACAGAAAUAAUAAAAGCUUCCAGCAAAGAUGCCAUCAGGCUUUUGGAUUCCGUGCCUCCCACUGCCAUUAGUCACUUCAAGCAGUCAGCUGAGAAGCUAAUAGAGGAGAAGGGAGCUGUGGAAGCUCUGGCAGCAGCACUGGCCCAUAUUUCAGGUGCCACGUCCGUAGAUCAGCGCUCCUUGAUCAACUCAAAUGUGGGUUUUGUGACAAUGAUUUUGCGGUGCUCAAUUGAAAUGCCAAAUAUUAGUUAUGCUUGGAAAGAAGUUAAAGAGCAGCUGGGCGAGGAGAUUGAUUCCAAAGUGAAGGGAAUGGUUUUUCUCAAAGGAAAGCUGGGUGUUUGCUUUGAUGUACCUACUGCAUCAGUAACAGAAAUACAGGAGAAAUGGCAUGAUUCACGACGCUGGCAACUCUCUGUGGCCACAGAGCAACCAGAGCUUGAAGGACCCCGGGAAGGAUAUGGAGGCUUCAGGGGUCAGCGGGAAGGGAGUCGAGGCUUCAGGGGACAGCGGGACGGAAACAGAAGAUUCAGAGGACAGCGGGAAGGCAACAGAGGCCCCCGAGGACAGCGAUCAGGAGGUGGCAACAACAGUAACAGAUCCCAAGACAAAGGCCAGAAGCGGAGUUUCAGUAAAGCAUUUGGUCGAUAAUUAGAAAUAGAAGAUUGAUAUAGCAAAAAGAGAAUGAUAUUUGGCAGUAUAGAACUGAACAUUAUUUUUCAUGCAAAGUUAAAAGCAUAUUGUGCUUCCUUUUGACCACUUGCUGAGUCCCUGUCUCUUUCAGACACAAGCAAGCUUCAUCUAAUUUAUUUCCUCUGAUCAUUAUCAUUUAUAACUUUAUUUUUACUUCUUCAUCAGUUUUUCCUUUUGAAGGGUAUAUGAAUUCAUUACAUUUUUAUUCUAAUGCAUUAUCUAUAGAUUAGAAGAUAAAAUCAAGCAUGUAUCUGCCUA